GGUCAACGUAUCUAUUUAGAAGUAUGAAUUUUAAUAUAGUUUCUAAUAUAAUUCUGAGAAAUACGUUCUGAAUGUCACAUUAAAAUUAACUUCAUCCAAGCGUUAUUAUUUAAAGCAUUUAUUUUGAGAUUUACUUAUUACUUUUGAAUUAAGCGAACAGCAUUUGCUAACCGAUCCGAUCCGUUAUCAAUAUAAGUCAAAGAGAGUAUGUUUAAGUAGAGUGAAUCAGCACAUUUGUAGCAUGUUGUUAGAUGGCUUGAGUUUAUUAAUAUAUAUUUAUUACCUUUGUCUUACCAAUCAAGCUACAAAAUCUUAAUUUCCUAUACAUGGUUUAAAUAGCGAAGAGAUGACAUGUUUUCUUUAUAUAAUACUCGUACAACAGGAUAAUAUAAAAUCUUGUUUUGAAAAUCUCUUUAGCUUAAGAGAUAUGUUAUAUAUUAAAUUAAGUCCUGGUAUCUAUGAUGAGUUUAUUUACAACCACUGGGUCGAUGCCACUGCUGGUGGAGAUUUAUUUCCACGAGGAUAUCACAAGCCUAGUAGUCAGCACUUAUUGUGCUGACAUGAAUUGUCAUUGAUGGCGUAUAUAUAAAAUUUAGUCCUGGUAUCUAUGAUGAGUUUAAUUCUUACAUUAAGCAUUGAUUGUGUUGUAAUUUCAAGGGUUAUUCCCUUUAUAAAUGCAUUCCAUAUCACAUUUAAGUCCCAUUAAUGUACAGACAUUCCAAAAAUUAAGGCUGACAUUUUUUAUUUGUGUUCAUAUGACAUUGUCAAACUGUGAUAGCAUUACUGUUUUAUCAUCACGCUUCUUCCCUAUCUGGCUUUGUUAUAAUUACCUGUAUGAAAUUUUGGGGAUAUGGGGAAAUUCGUGUAAUGGAAAUAAGUGUAUAUAAUAUAUCAAAAGCAUUGUGACAAAAUUGAACAUUUCAAAUUAUGUUUAAGGGAAUUUCAUUUGACAAUUUAAAUGACUAUAAAAGAUACCAGAUAUUUACUUUUCUUUUCUAAGAAAGAUUUGGAUACUACUUUAAUGGGAAAAUAUGAUUUGUGGUAAUAUCAAUAUUCUUAUGACCAACCCACCUGUCCCCCAAAACCAAAAGACUAAGUAUUAAUUGGUUUAAACUGACUACUUGUAUUUGAUAUGUAUAUAAUGUCUUUAUUAUGUUUAGUGGAUAAUUUCCAGCUUUUUCACAAAAUAUAAAAAGUAAAUUUUCAUAAUUUUCAUAACCUGUAGCAUUGUAAUUGAGUAAACUUUGUUGAUUAAACUAUGC
This 1262-nucleotide long non-coding RNA is filed under the name Mytilus galloprovincialis (Mediterranean mussel). The record is from RNAcentral. Lineage: Eukaryota; Metazoa; Mollusca; Bivalvia; Mytilida; Mytilidae.